This 66-nucleotide transfer RNA is filed under the name Spiniphilus spinicornis. RNAcentral describes it as "tRNA-Tyr". It matches the Rfam family "tRNA". Rfam says of the family: Transfer RNA (tRNA) molecules are approximately 80 nucleotides in length. Their secondary structure includes four short double-helical elements and three loops (D, anti-codon, and T loops). The record is from RNAcentral. Lineage: Eukaryota; Metazoa; Arthropoda; Insecta; Coleoptera; Vesperidae.
GGUAAAAUGGCUGAGUUUUAGGCAAUAAAUUGUAAAUUUAUAGACGAAAUCUAAUUUCUUUUACCA